Molecule: long non-coding RNA, 1118 nt
Filed under: Olea europaea subsp. europaea
Lineage: Eukaryota; Viridiplantae; Streptophyta; Magnoliopsida; Lamiales; Oleaceae
Source: RNAcentral
GGUACCUUCAGUUUUUCUUCUUCUUUCUUCUCCAAAAUUUCCAGCUCAACUCACCCACCUUUUCAUUUUCAACUUAACAAAAUUAGUUCAGAUGAGAGUAGAGUCAACCAAGAGAAGUCCGUUCCUCCAAGUGAGUCCUCACUUGAGCCCAAUUCGAAGGAGAUGGAGGUGCUUUAUUCAAUCCCUUUAUCAAAUGUCUUACCUACAAGGGGUUCUUGACCUGUUACAAGGUGAAGUACUCCAAGGAGAUCUAGGUACAUAGUAGGUCCAUCUGGAGGUGAGCAUGGGAGUGUGAGUAUUGAGGAGGUAGAUGUUGGCAAAGGAUGUAAGGUCAGAUCAAAGGUUUGUUGGGAAUGUCUAGGUAUCGAGUCUUUUGUGGUAGCUUGAAAUUUUGAGCAAUAACGAGGAUAUUUCCAUGCUCCCAGAUCGGUGGAAUUACUGUCUCCCUUACCUAACCAACAAGCUUGUGAUCCUCUGGACGGGAUGACUCGUAAACUUUCUUUGUUGUCUUUCGGCCUUAGGUUGCCGUUUCCUCCCGUAAUCUGUAAAUUUUUUUUUUAGCUUGGAAAAUUGCAACUACUUAGUUCCAUCCCACUGGUUGGAGGAAUCUUUUUGGUUGCCUAUACUGUGGGACAACUUGUGGUUCCUUGAGUUGGCAGUGGAGGAAUUCAAUGCUUUGCAUAAUUUCAAGGAUGAUGGAAUUGUUUAUUUAUUGAUAAAGGAGAACUAAAACUCAAGAAGAAACUCGUUCACCGCGUCAUUCGAGGGCGAGCUCAAUUGGAGGUCAGCGUCCAUUAACUCGGCAAACUCUUUCUUCGUCAACUAGGUCUUAACCUAUUUGCCUAGCUCCUCCUCAGUCCCCUGUGUUUUCUUCUCCAACUCAUUCACUGGUCGCUUCUCCAAUUUGUUCUAGUUCUUCUUGUUUGAAUAUUCCUAGGCCAAACUUGGAAAAUUAGGUUGUUAAAUGCCCAGAGGGCUUGCUGGUUUUUUGUAAAGCCACUUCACCUACUAGGUUUUCUACAUUAGCUGUUUCUCUACCACUACGAUAUUCAACUAGCCUUAUGACUCGGAGCUGGAAUUAUUACGAGCAGAGCAGUGGCGGACACAGACAAUUUGAG